AACGUAGGGGGCCAGCGUUGUUCGGAAUUACUGGGUGUAAAGGGUUCGUAGGCGGUGCGGCAAGUCGGGAGUGAAAUCUCUGGGCUUAACUCAGAGGCUGCUUUCGAAACUGCCGUGCUCGAGUGCGGGAGAGGCCAGUGGAAUUGCAGGUGUAGCGGUGAAAUGCGUAGAUAUCUGCAGGAACACCCGUGGCGAAGGCGGCUGGCUGGACCGCAACUGACGCUGAGGAACGAAAGCUAGGGGAGCAAACAGG
Molecule: ribosomal RNA, 253 nt
Filed under: uncultured bacterium
Lineage: Bacteria
Description: partial 16S ribosomal RNA
Rfam family: Bacterial small subunit ribosomal RNA
Source: RNAcentral